This 432-nucleotide unclassified non-coding RNA is filed under the name Hevea brasiliensis (rubber tree). Lineage: Eukaryota; Viridiplantae; Streptophyta; Magnoliopsida; Malpighiales; Euphorbiaceae. The record is from RNAcentral.
AGAUCAAACUCUGUAAUUGGUAUUUAUGAAAAGUUAACUCAUGAAACAGGGGCAACAGUGUGAGGGGAGUUCUAUGUUUAGCUACUAUCAAAAGAAAUGAAGAAACGAAAGCAAUUGCAAACAACUUGGCAAACAAGGGAAACAAAUCAUCAAUCAUUCAACUGAAACAGUAAACAGGGGGGUCAUCAUUCUGUUGCUUCAUGUCAUAUGUCCAAGGUUGCAAACCCCUCCCCCUAAGGAAUCUUGCUAAUGCAUUACAUGGAAACAAACUAAUAGAACCUUGUAGUUGUAGGUGACGCAUUACUUCUGAGGGAAAUUUUUCAAAAAGGCUGGAGCAAAAAAAAAGGGCUCUACCAUAUCAAAGUCUUUACUUGAUACUUUGUGGCGUUUAACUUCUCAGUUUUCUUCUCUUAAAAAAAAUAAAUAAAUAAA